RNAcentral lists this ribosomal RNA (550 nucleotides) under uncultured bacterium. RNAcentral describes it as "bacterial SSU rRNA". It matches the Rfam family "Bacterial small subunit ribosomal RNA", at positions 106 to 657 of the family's 1533-position model. The record is from RNAcentral.
GUGAGUAAUGCUUGGGAACUUGCCUUUGCGAGGGGGAUAACAGUUGGAAACGACUGCUAAUACCGCAUAAUGUCUACGGACCAAACGGGGCUUUUAGCUCCGGCGCAAAGAGAGGCCCAAGUGAGAUUAGCUAGUUGGUGAGGUAAAGGCUCACCAAGGCGACGAUCUCUAGCUGUUCUGAGAGGAAGAUCAGCCACACUGGGACUGAGACACGGCCCAGACUCCUACGGGAGGCAGCAGUGGGGAAUAUUGCACAAUGGGGGAAACCCUGAUGCAGCCAUGCCGCGUGUGUGAAGAAGGCCUUCGGGUUGUAAAGCACUUUCAGUUGUGAGGAAAGGUUGGUAGUUAAUACCUGCCAGCUAUGACGUUAACAACAGAAGAAGCACCGGCUAACUCCGUGCCAGCAGCCGCGGUAAUACGGAGGGUGCGAGCGUUAAUCGGAAUUACUGGGCGUAAAGCGCACGCAGGCGGUUUGUUAAGCUAGAUGUGAAAGCCCCGGGCUCAACCUGGGAUGGUCAUUUAGAACUGGCAGACUAGAGUCUUGGAGAGG